UCGUGAACCAACUCCCCUUCAUUCAUGCGCUCCUUGGAGACCUCUGAAGUAAAGCAAACCUUAGCCCUUCAUUGUCGCCACCGUCCCAAGGUCCUCAGCGCCGCCGCCAUUCCCAAGUCCUCAACGCUGCCGCUUCUUCCUCUUCCCCAUGUCUGGAGCCCAGGUAGCUCGGCACGUCGUGUUCAUCAUCGCUGGCUUCUCUGUUCGUGGCUUGGAGCAUCUCAUUGUCGGGUCGCCGCUUGUCGUCGUCUCGCCUAUCGCCUCGUCUCGCCGUUUGCCAUCCGUGUCUCCGUCGAAGAACUUGUAGCUUUGUCUGGAACCCACACUCUUGGAAGUAAAGGUUUUGGAAGUCCAACGACUUCUUUUGACAAUGCAUAUUAUAAGAUUCGUUUGGAGAAGCCUUAGGCAAAUUCAGGUGGCAUGUCAAGUAUGAUUGGCCUUCCUUCAGAUCUCAAAUGUCGGUUUUGUUCUCAAAUGCUUCAAUAUUAGGAUUAAAUUAUUAUAUAAAUGGGUAAAACAAUUUAGGAUUAGAAGCAUAAUGUUCAAUUUUAAUAUUUAGAUAUUUUUUUAUCAUUUAACUUUUGAGUUUGUAUUUUGAUAAAGAUCAUAUGGUUUUAGUUGAUGACAUUUCAUGUAGUGUUUUAAAUUUGAAAGAUAUUUAAAGAUUUAUACUAGACUAAUAAUUAUAUUUAGGAUAUUUAUUUAUAAUUUAUUUAUUAUUUUAUUUUAAAACGAUUUUUUCGGUCGAACCACGAUUAGACCGGUCAAACCAGUAAAACCGUGAACCAGUGCUUAGAACAGUUUAAUGACCGUCCGAUUCUCAUUACUAUAAUUAGUAUAAUUUGUGUGAUUUUACCAACGAGUUAUAGUUCAAAUGGCAUAGUCUCUCCAUACUCAUUUAAGAGGUUGCGGAUUCAAGUCUCCUAUAUUUGGUUAAAAAAAAAGAAACUGAUGAUUUUCACUUUAUCAAUUUCUUUACCGAAACGAGGCAAUAAACAACACAUUUUGAGCU
Molecule: RNA transcript, 1012 nt
Organism: Arachis duranensis
Lineage: Eukaryota; Viridiplantae; Streptophyta; Magnoliopsida; Fabales; Fabaceae
Exons: 3
Source: RefSeq, a predicted model, not a curated record